This 251-nucleotide ribosomal RNA is filed under the name uncultured prokaryote. RNAcentral's name for it is "partial 16S rRNA". It matches the Rfam family "Bacterial small subunit ribosomal RNA", at positions 525 to 775 of the family's 1533-position model. The record is from RNAcentral.
ACGUAGGAGGCAAACGUUAUCCGGAUUUACUGGGCGUAAAGCGCGUGUAGGUGGUUCUGUAAGUAGGGCGUGAAAGCUCCUGGCUCAACUGGGAGAGGCCGUUCUAAACUGCAGAGCUAGAGGAUGGUAGAGGGAGGUGGAAUUCCGGGUGUAGCAGUGGAAUGCGGAGAUAUCCGGAGGAACACCAGUGGCGAAAGCGGCCACCUGGAACAGUCCCGACACUCAGACACGAAAGCUAGGGUAGCAAACAG